CUGAUGUCACCUGUGAUGACCAAGUCUUAUUUUUAUUUUCUUCCUCUUUUAUUUUAUUUUUUUUAUUGCAUUUUGUUUUGUUAUGGGGCCUAGGUUGACUAAUAGGUAAGAUAUGUGUGGAUAGGAAUGUGUGUGAUAUGUAUAUGUGUGUUUGUAUAGAGAGAGAAAGUGGAAUAAAAGUCCAAAAAUCCUCUCACUCUCCUACUUCACCGACACACUUUCUUCUCUCUCCCAUUCUUUUAUUUUUCAUUUUACUUCAACCAUUUCUCCAUCAUUUGAGAUUUUGAGCUUGCAUAGAAGGAAAAUUGACGGGGACUACGAGAGGAACAAAACCCCUCAAUCAAUUUUGGAUUUGGAGCACAUUUUUCUUUUGGAGUAGCUAGGGUUUGCUCCAAGCUUGAGAUAGGGGUGUAUUGUGCUUAUAACCUAGGAGUUCUUGGAAUUUUAUGACCAUUGUAAAAAGGCAUUGCCCAAGAGGAGGUUCCUCAUUCCUAGCUUGAUUGGGAUCUUGACAACAUUUUUGAGCUACUUGUGAUAAUUGUGACAUCCAUUGUAUAGCUUACUUUUGGACUUGUAUUUUGACACAUGGUGUAUUUUGGAUAUUAUAUUUGAUGACAUAUUUGUAAUAUUCUUUUGGAAGAGGGAAAUGACGUAGGAACUCACCCAUCUAUCUUUUGGAGUUCUUAUGGAAUUUCCUCUCUUAUCUUUACUUAUGUAAUCCCUUAAUAUUAUUUCUCACCUUAUGGAUUGUAAUGAGGCCAUGGUGGCCAUGACUUAUAUAGUGGGAUUGAACAAUUAUUGUUUAAA
This is a long non-coding RNA of Cornus florida, 807 nucleotides long. RefSeq lists it as uncharacterized. The transcript is spliced from 2 exons. NCBI's taxonomy places the organism in Eukaryota, Viridiplantae, Streptophyta, Magnoliopsida, Cornales, Cornaceae. The record is from RefSeq and is a predicted model, not a curated record.